AGAGCGAACGCUGGCGGCAGGCCUAAAACAUGCAAGUCGAACGGACCCUUCGGGGUUAGUGGCGGACGGGUGAGUAACACGUGGGAACGUGCCUUUUGGUUCAGAACAACUCAGGGAAACUUGAGCUAAUACUGAAUAAAGCCCUACGGGGGAAAGAUUUAUCGCCAUUAGAGCGGCCCGCGUUGGAUUAGCUAGUUGGUGAGGUAAAGGCUCACCAAGGCUACGAUCCAUAGCUGGUCUGAGAGGAUGAUCAGCCACACUGGGACUGAGACACGGCCCAGACUCCUACGGGAGGCAGCAGUUAGGAAUCUUGCGCAAUGGGCGAAAGCCUGACGCAGCCAUGCCGCGUGAGUGAUGAAGACCUUCGGGUUGUAAAGCUCUGUCGGAGGGGAAGAACACAAUGACGGUACCCUCCAAGAAAGCCCCGGCUAACUACGUGCCAGCAGCCGC
RNAcentral lists this ribosomal RNA (450 nucleotides) under uncultured bacterium. RNAcentral's name for it is "SSU rRNA". It matches the Rfam family "Bacterial small subunit ribosomal RNA", at positions 26 to 518 of the family's 1533-position model. The record is from RNAcentral.